GGACAAGAAGGGAGCUGCCUCAGGUCGACCGGACUUUCUGUCACGUUCUGUUGUAAACUCAAGGAGGAAACCUAAGGUUGGAGAGGAGAGGCGCUGCCUUUAAUCGGCAUGUGACAGUGUGUGUGUUUGUGUGAGUGCGUGUGUGUGCGUUUCCGUCCGUCCAUUAGUCUUUCCGUCAAAAUCUAGAGAAUGAAGAAAAUUAUGAACUUGGCCAGAAGAUUGAAGAUGUUCUUUGGAGAUAUGAAAAUUGGAUCAUAUGGGGGAUGCUGCACGAAAACAAACCAUAAUUUUCGAGAAAAAAAAGUUAAAUUUUUUACCUCAGCAAACCUCAUUUAAAUGUUUGGAUGUGUUCAAAUGUCAAAAAAAGGUAUGGGUGAGGAUGCAGAGAGAAAAAAAAAAAAAAAAAAACACCUUCCAUAGAGAUAGAGAUUAGUCCAUUUGCAAAGCGUAAAAUAGGCUCCUUCGCAUGUCGGUAAUCGGAUGUUCACUCAUCCUUAACCAUCUCACCUAUUCUGCGUUUGACAGUGUUAUCUGGCAGUGAAAAUUGAUUUGCAGUCUUUUUCUCCUAACAUCACCGUGGCCAAAUUUAAUUAAUUUCCAAGUGCGCUUUCAGAUCGUAACUAUGAGUCAUGCUACAGCACUUGUGCCCUAACUAUUUCAGGAUGGCGCCCCCUUGGCUUCUGCUUGAUGCCAGCAAUCUGUCCAUUCAUCGAAAGGUUUACACCGACGGGGAGCUUUUCGCGCUCACUGACAUUACGUGACGAAGACGGACGAGGUUCAAGGCGGGCGACACUGCGCGUCAAAUCAGAACAAAACGAAUGGCCUCCGACAUUUCCUAAUUCCCCCGCUAAGUGAGACAGUGAAAGAUGGCGCCCCCUUGGCUUCUGCUUGAUGCCAGCAAUCUGUCCAUUCAUCGAAAGGUUUACACCGACGGGGAGCUUUUCGCGCUCACUGACAUUACGUGACGAAGACGGACGAGGUUCAAGGCGGGCGACACUGCGCGUCAAAUCAGAACAAAACGAAUGGCCUCCGACAUUUCCUAAUUCCCCCGCUAAGUGAGACAGUGAAAGAUGGCGCCCCCUUGGCUUCUGCUUGAUGCCAGCAAUCUGUCCAUUCAUCGAAAGGUUUACACCGACGGGGAGCUUUUCGCGCUCACUGACAUUACGUGACGAAGACGGACGAGGAUCAAGGCGGGCGACACUGCGCGUCAAAUCAGAACAAAACGAAUGGCCUCCGACAUUUCCUAAUUCCCCCGCUAAGUGAGACAGUGAAAGAUGGCGCCCCCUUGGCUUCUGCUUGAUGCCAGCAAUCUGUCCAUUCAUCGAAAGGUUUACACCGACGGGGAGCUUUUCGCGCUCACUGACAUUACGUGACGAAGACGGACGAGGAUCAAGGCGGGCGACACUGCGCGUCAAAUCAGAACAAAACGAAUGGCCUCCGACAUUUCCUAAUUCCCCCGCUAAGUGAGACAGUGAAAGUAAUUCUUAAUCCCUACAUUUCGUAUUGUUAAAAAGGUCUCCAUACACCUAGAAUAAUAUCGGCUUCUGGGCACCUUUCUCGUUAGUCAGGCAUAUCAAGAUAGAUGCAUUGGAGCACUGCAAUAACCUGAAUAACGGUUGACUUUUGAAAAUCCUUUAUGCAAAAUAUGUGACCGAUGAUACACACCAUUAUAUAGUUAUGAAAAAUCUUUUGAAAUUAGCAGAGCGUAGUUUCGAUCUACGGACCUCUGGGUUAUGGGCCCAGCACGCUUCCACUGCGCCACUCUGCUCUCCCUUAUUUAUGUGUAUGCACUGAAAUGUCAAUUACACAAACGGAUUUUCUGAGGCCAGAACUUGCUGAAAGUU
Molecule: transfer RNA, 1844 nt
Filed under: Penaeus chinensis
Lineage: Eukaryota; Metazoa; Arthropoda; Malacostraca; Decapoda; Penaeidae
Description: uncharacterized LOC125033766, transcript variant X4
Source: RNAcentral